UACAGGGGGUGCAAACGUUGCUCGGAAUCACUGGGCGUAAAGCGCACGUAGGCGGCUCUUUAAGUCAGGGGUGAAAUCCUGGAGCUCAACUCCAGAACCGCCCUUGAUACUGAGGAGCUUGAGUCCGGGAGAGGUGAGUGGAACUGCGAGUGUAGAGGUGAAAUUCGUAGAUAUUCGCAAGAACACCAGUGGCGAAGGCGGCUCACUGGCCCGGUACUGACGCUGAGGUGCGAAAGCGUGGGGAGCAAACAGG
Molecule: ribosomal RNA, 253 nt
Filed under: uncultured bacterium
Lineage: Bacteria
Description: partial 16S ribosomal RNA
Rfam family: Bacterial small subunit ribosomal RNA
Source: RNAcentral